This 73-nucleotide transfer RNA is filed under the name Sungouiella intermedia. RNAcentral's name for it is "Candida intermedia tRNA". It matches the Rfam family "tRNA". Rfam says of the family: Transfer RNA (tRNA) molecules are approximately 80 nucleotides in length. Their secondary structure includes four short double-helical elements and three loops (D, anti-codon, and T loops). RNAcentral also lists the same sequence under 1 other name. Lineage: Eukaryota; Fungi; Ascomycota; Pichiomycetes; Serinales; Metschnikowiaceae. The record is from Rfam by way of RNAcentral.
UGAGUCGUAGACUAAUUGGCAAGUCACCUAGGUUUGAGCUAGGAGUAUAUAUGUUCAAAUCAUAUCGACUCAG